GAGCAGUUAAACUGCCUAACCUGAAGGGCGUGAAGUUUCGUGAAGUGUGAAGGACGUGAAGUUCGUGAAGUGCGAGUGGUGUUGUUCUCUCUGGUUCAAAUUUGAGCGCAUGCGAGAGAGAGAGAGAGAGAGAGAGAGAGUUUGUUGUGUUGG
This is a non-coding RNA of Arachis ipaensis, 153 nucleotides long. The record is from RefSeq and is a predicted model, not a curated record. Lineage: Eukaryota; Viridiplantae; Streptophyta; Magnoliopsida; Fabales; Fabaceae.